CCGCAGUCCCCGAGCCCACCCGGCCUCUGGGCCCCUCUGGGUGGUGGCUGAGUCCGGGCAGCUCUGCUGGACCCUGAUGCCGCAGCAAUGCCGGCCCGGUGGGCAGACGCGCCGAGGGGCUCUCAGAGGCCGCUAAUCAUCUGCCUGGCGUGCAGGCUGCUCUGAUCCUGACGGAGAGGCCAGGGUCUGCUCGGGGACCCUGGGCGUGGCGGCUGGGAUGCCCUCAGGGUGGCCUGCCUCCCGCCACCAGCCUGCUCGGCACUCCCCUGACCAAGCGCUCCCCUGCCUGGCUCUCUGGCCUUGAGUCCGUCUGGCAGACUCAGCCUGGGCCGGCCCCGCUGGCGCCCCACCUCCCAUCACCCUCGCUGCCCGCCCCACGGCCUGCUGCCCCGCGCCCAGCUCCUCAGUCCAGCCACCACCACAGCUGCCUGUUUCCAGCUGGAAUGUCCCUGAGCCGAGAGAGAAACCCUGACGUGGCUUAACUUCUGUGGCAAUUCAGAAAGCAAAACGUCGAGAAGAAAACUUCUAAGCGCUCUCUCUGCGUUUGUCCUUGCAAGCCUCCCCGUCGUUGAACUGUGCCUUUUCUUUAAAAUGCCAUGAGAUGGCCGAAUCAGGAAGACCUCGUUUUUGAGUAAGAUGAGCGAGGCAGGAAAGGACAAAUACUGUAUGAUCUCACUGAUAAGAAAUAAUUAGAACAUGCAAAUUCACAGAGUCAGACAUUAGAAUACAGGUUACCAGGGGUGGGGUGGGGCAGGAAAUGGGGAGGUAUUGCUUAAUGGGAACAGAGCUUCUGUUUUGGGGUGCUGGAAAAGUCUUGGUAAUGGAUGGCGGUGAUGGUAACUCAACAUUGUGCACGUAACUGAAUUGUAUCCUUAAAAGUGGUUCAAAGGGAAGAUUUUAUGCUGUAUACCACAAUAAAUUUUUUUAAAAAGCGAUAGAAUUGUACAACACGAAGAGUAAGCCCUAAUGUAAACCAUGGACUUUGGUGAAUGAUAUGAUGCUUAUAAUGAUAUUGGCUCAUCUGUUGUAACAAAUGUAUGGCACUAAAGCAAAAUGUUAACAAUAGGGAAAAUGUGCGUGGAGCGGGCUCUAUGGGAACUCUGUACUUUCUGCAUGAUUCUUCUGCAAACCUACACCUGCUCUAAAAAAUAAAAUUUUAAAAGUAUAGGAA
RNAcentral lists this long non-coding RNA (1171 nucleotides) under Dasypus novemcinctus (nine-banded armadillo). RNAcentral describes it as "lncRNA (ENSDNOG00000051779.1)". Lineage: Eukaryota; Metazoa; Chordata; Mammalia; Cingulata; Dasypodidae. The record is from RNAcentral.